RNAcentral lists this ribosomal RNA (468 nucleotides) under uncultured bacterium. RNAcentral describes it as "partial 16S ribosomal RNA". It matches the Rfam family "Bacterial small subunit ribosomal RNA", at positions 28 to 507 of the family's 1533-position model. The record is from RNAcentral.
GACGAACGCUGGCGGCGUGCUUAACACAUGCAAGUCGAACGGAAAGGCCCUGCUUUUGUGGGGUGCUCGAGUGGCGAACGGGUGAGUAACACGUGAGUAACCUGCCCUUGACUUUGGGAUAACUUCAGGAAACUGGGGCUAAUACCGGAUAGGAGCUCCUGCUGCAUGGUGGGGGUUGGAAAGUUUCGGCGGUUGGGGAUGGACUCGCGGCUUAUCAGCUUGUUGGUGGGGUAGUGGCUUACCAAGGCUUCGACGGGUAGCCGGCCUGAGAGGGUGACCGGCCACAUUGGGACUGAGGUACGGCGCAGACUCCUACGGGAGGCAGCAGUGGGGAAUAUUGCGCAAUGGGCGGAAGCCUGAUGCAGCAACGCCGCGUGCGGGAUGACGGCCUUCGGGUUGUAAACCGCUUUCGCCUGUGACGAAGCGUGAGUGACGGUAAUGGGUAAAGAAGCACCGGCUAACUACGUG